UUGACUGUGCCGGUAUGCAGCCUGCUGUGGAGCCUGACCGUGGGUUAUGCGUCAACCACAAACGGAUAGAUUCUUUGGAGUCGAAUAAAAACGCUUAA
Molecule: small RNA, 98 nt
Filed under: Hungatella effluvii
Lineage: Bacteria; Bacillati; Bacillota; Clostridia; Lachnospirales; Lachnospiraceae
Description: drum RNA
Rfam family: drum RNA
About the family: Firmicutes, Bacteroidetes (1 example), Proteobacteria (2 examples), Spirochaetes (2 examples).
Source: RNAcentral